GUGUUUCAGCAGCACAUAUACUAAAAUUUUGAAAACUACAGAGAUUAGCAUGUGCAAGGAUGACAAAUUUGUGAAAUGUUUCAUAUUUUA
RNAcentral lists this small nuclear RNA (90 nucleotides) under Papio anubis (olive baboon). The record is from RNAcentral. Lineage: Eukaryota; Metazoa; Chordata; Mammalia; Primates; Cercopithecidae.